AAAACCUGAUUUACGCCUAUUAUCUUAGUUUUCUUUUUUUAAAAAUAUGUAAUUUUUAUUUUGUUCACGAAAAGCGUCUGUAAACUGGGUCGAAACUACUGUAUGAAUAAACUUCGGUCCACGUGACAUCCCUUCACGGUGAGUUUAACGCCGCUCUGCUAUUGGUCAAACUGCAUCAGCGGUGAGUUCUCAGAUGAGUUCAACUGUCAACAUUAAAUAUUACGUUAAUGCUGCAUAAUGUAUUUUUAUUGGAGAUUAGUUGGUGUUUAUAAAUAUGUUAUCAUUUACUUUAUAUUUAAUGAGUGAAAAUAUAUUCGGUUGUCCAGUUUAGGGUAACUAUGUCUAAUAAAACUUUGAUUCAUUCAUAUUAUUUAUUAUUUUUUUACUUUAAAAAAUAUUACAUUUCAAGUAAUAAGUUUAAAAAUGUUUUCGGCUGAUCUUUUUCAUUUUAAAUUAUUUAUUGAAGUUGGGGUCAUUGUAUGUGGCGAUCUAUUUUUUACAGUCUAUGCUCGCUAUCCCAAGGUUCAUUGCGAUCCCAAGCUUCACUGCGGUUUUCCACAAGAUGCAGAAACUUUUGACAUAUGAAUUCAUCUUGACUAAGGGUAAGGUUUUUGUUCAGAAUUAAUCAUUAUUUAAAAUCAUUGUAUUUUCUUUGCUAUUAUGUACAGCUUUUAAAAGAAUGUACUUUCUUUUAAUAAAGAACUCUUCACAGCACUGCAUCUGAACAGUCACAACCUCACAGAGCUGCACAACUGCCCCACUCAAGAUCAGUGUUGAAGCUGAAACCUCAUCUUGUGUACAGCA
Danio rerio (zebrafish) is the source of this 804-nucleotide non-coding RNA. The record is from Ensembl. NCBI's taxonomy places the organism in Eukaryota, Metazoa, Chordata, Actinopteri, Cypriniformes, Danionidae.